This 497-nucleotide ribosomal RNA is filed under the name uncultured bacterium. RNAcentral's name for it is "partial 16S ribosomal RNA". It matches the Rfam family "Bacterial small subunit ribosomal RNA", at positions 28 to 507 of the family's 1533-position model. The record is from RNAcentral.
GAUGAACGCUGGCGGCGUGCCUAAUACAUGCAAGUCGAGCGAACAGAUGAGGAGCUUGCUCCUCUGACGUUAGCGGCGGACGGGUGAGUAACACGUAGAUAACCUACCUAUAAGACUGGGAUAACUUCGGGAAACCGGAGCUAAUACCGGAUAAUAUAUUGAACCGCAUGGUUCAAUAGUGAAAGACGGUUUUGCUGUCACUUAUAGAUGGAUCCGCGCCGCAUUAGCUAGUUGGUAAGGUAACGGCUUACCAAGGCGACGAUGCGUAGCCGACCUGAGAGGGUGAUCGGCCACACUGGAACUGAGACACGGUCCAGACUCCUACGGGAGGCAGCAGUAGGGAAUCUUCCGCAAUGGGCGAAAGCCUGACGGAGCAACGCCGCGUGAGUGAUGAAGGUCUUCGGAUCGUAAAACUCUGUUAUUAGGGAAGAACAAAUGUGUAAGUAACUAUGCACGUCUUGACGGUACCUAAUCAGAAAGCCACGGCUAACUACGUG